RNAcentral lists this ribosomal RNA (497 nucleotides) under uncultured bacterium. RNAcentral's name for it is "partial 16S ribosomal RNA". It matches the Rfam family "Bacterial small subunit ribosomal RNA", at positions 28 to 507 of the family's 1533-position model. The record is from RNAcentral.
GAUGAACGCUGGCGGCGUGCCUAAUACAUGCAAGUCGAGCGAACGGACGAGAAGCUUGCUUUUCUGAUGUUAGCGGCGGACGGGUGAGUAACACGUGGAUAACCUACCUAUAAGACUGGGAUAACUUCGGGAAACCGGAGCUAAUACCGGAUAAUAUUUUGAACCGCAUGGUUCAUAAGUGAAAGACGGUCUUGCUGUCACUUAUAGAUGGAUCCGCGCUGCAUUAGCUAGUUGGUAAGGUAACGGCUUACCAAGGCAACGAUGCAUAGCCGACCUGAGAGGGUGAUCGGCCACACUGGAACUGAGACACGGUCCAGACUCCUACGGGAGGCAGCAGUAGGGAAUCUUCCGCAAUGGGCGAAAGCCUGACGGAGCAACGCCGCGCGAGUGAUGAAGGUCUUCGGAUCGUAAAACUCUGUUAUUAGGGAAGAACAUAUGUGUAAGUAACUGUGCACAUCUUGACGGUACCUAAUCAGAAAGCCACGGCUAACUACGUG